GAUGAACGCUGGCGGCGUGCCUAAUACAUGCAAGUCGAGCGAACAGACGAGGAGCUUGCUCCUCUGACGUUAGCGGCGGACGGGUGAGUAACACGUGGAUAACCUACCUAUAAGACUGGGAUAACUUCGGGAAACCGGAGCUAAUACCGGAUAACAUGUUGAACCGCAUGGUUUAACAGUGAAAGACGGUCUUGCUGUCACUUAUAGAUGGAUCCGCGCCGCAUUAGCUAGUUGGUAAGGUAACGGCUUACCAAGGCAACGAUGCGUAGCCGACCUGAGAGGGUGGUCGGCCACACUGGAAGUGAAGCACGGUCCAGACUCCGUGGAGAGGCAGGGGUUGGGGAUCUUCCGCAAUGGGCGGAAGCCUGACGGAGCAACACCGCGUGAGUGGAGAAAGUCUUCGGAUCGGAAAACUCUGUUUGUAGGGAAAGACAAAUGUGUGAAAAACCUUGCACGUUUUGACGGUACCUGAUCAGAAAGCCACCGCUAAAUACGUG
RNAcentral lists this ribosomal RNA (497 nucleotides) under uncultured bacterium. RNAcentral's name for it is "partial 16S ribosomal RNA". It matches the Rfam family "Bacterial small subunit ribosomal RNA", at positions 28 to 507 of the family's 1533-position model. The record is from RNAcentral.